RNAcentral lists this ribosomal RNA (1285 nucleotides) under Latilactobacillus curvatus. RNAcentral describes it as "bacterial SSU rRNA". It matches the Rfam family "Bacterial small subunit ribosomal RNA", at positions 68 to 1341 of the family's 1533-position model. The record is from RNAcentral. Lineage: Bacteria; Bacillati; Bacillota; Bacilli; Lactobacillales; Lactobacillaceae.
GCUUCUGAUUGAUAACAUUUGAGUGAGUGGCGGACGGGUGAGUAACACGUGGGUAACCUGCCCUAAAGUGGGGGAUAACAUUUGGAAACAGAUGCUAAUACCGCAUAAAACCUAGCACCGCAUGGUGCAAGGUUGAAAGAUGGUUUCGGCUAUCACUUUAGGAUGGACCCGCGGUGCAUUAGUUAGUUGGUGAGGUAAAGGCUCACCAAGACCGUGAUGCAUAGCCGACCUGAGAGGGUAAUCGGCCACACUGGGACUGAGACACGGCCCAGACUCCUACGGGAGGCAGCAGUAGGGAAUCUUCCACAAUGGACGAAAGUCUGAUGGAGCAACGCCGCGUGAGUGAAGAAGGUUUUCGGAUCGUAAAACUCUGUUGUUGGAGAAGAACGUAUUUGAUAGUAACUGAUCAGGUAGUGACGGUAUCCAACCAGAAAGCCACGGCUAACUACGUGCCAGCAGCCGCGGUAAUACGUAGGUGGCAAGCGUUGUCCGGAUUUAUUGGGCGUAAAGCGAGCGCAGGCGGUUUCUUAAGUCUGAUGUGAAAGCCUUCGGCUCAACCGAAGAAGUGCAUCGGAAACUGGGAAACUUGAGUGCAGAAGAGGACAGUGGAACUCCAUGUGUAGCGGUGAAAUGCGUAGAUAUAUGGAAGAACACCAGUGGCGAAGGCGGCUGUCUGGUCUGUAACUGACGCUGAGGCUCGAAAGCAUGGGUAGCAAACAGGAUUAGAUACCCUGGUAGUCCAUGCCGUAAACGAUGAGUGCUAGGUGUUGGAGGGUUUCCGCCCUUCAGUGCCGCAGCUAACGCAUUAAGCACUCCGCCUGGGGAGUACGACCGCAAGGUUGAAACUCAAAGGAAUUGACGGGGGCCCGCACAAGCGGUGGAGCAUGUGGUUUAAUUCGAAGCAACGCGAAGAACCUUACCAGGUCUUGACAUCCUUUGACCACUCUAGAGAUAGAGCUUUCCCUUCGGGGACAAAGUGACAGGUGGUGCAUGGUUGUCGUCAGCUCGUGUCGUGAGAUGUUGGGUUAAGUCCCGCAACGAGCGCAACCCUUAUUACUAGUUGCCAGCAUUUAGUUGGGCACUCUAGUGAGACUGCCGGUGACAAACCGGAGGAAGGUGGGGACGACGUCAAAUCAUCAUGCCCCUUAUGACCUGGGCUACACACGUGCUACAAUGGAUGGUACAACGAGUCGCGAGACCGCGAGGUUUAGCUAAUCUCUUAAAACCAUUCUCAGUUCGGAUUGUAGGCUGCAACUCGCCUACAUGAAGCCGGAAUCGCUAGUAA